AUGUUGAACCGCAUGGUUCUACAGUGAAAGACGGUCUUGCUGUCACUUAUAGAUGGACCCGCGCCGUAUUAGCUAGUUGGUGGGGUAACGGCCUACCAAGGCGACGAUACGUAGCCGACCUGAGAGGGUGAUCGGCCACACUGGAACUGAGACACGGUCCAGACUCCUACGGGAGGCAGCAGUAGGGAAUCUUCCGCAAUGGGCGAAAGCCUGACGGAGCAACGCCGCGUGAGUGAUGAAGGUCUUCGGAUCGUAAAGCUCUGUUGUUAGGGAAGAACAAAUGUGUAAGUAACUGUGCACAUCUUGACGGUACCUAACCAGAAAGCCACGGCUAACUACGUGCCAGCAGCCGCGGUAAUACGUAGGUGGCAAGCGUUAUCCGGAAUUAUUGGGCGUAAAGCGCGCGUAGGCGGUUUUUUAAGUCUGAUGUGAAAGCCCACGGCUCAACCGUGGAGGGUCAUUGGAAACUGGAAAACUUGAGUGCAGAAGAGGAAAGUGGAAUUCCAUGUGUAGCGGUGAAAUGCGCAGAGAUAUGGAGGAACACCAGUGGCGAAAGCGGCUUUCUGGUCUGCAACUGACGCUUAAUAUGCGAAAGCGUGGGGAUCAAACAGGAUUAGAUACCCUGGUAGUCCACGCCGUAAACGAUGAGUGCUAAAUGUUAUGGGGUGUCCCCCCCUUAGUGCUGCAGCUAACGCAUUAAACACUCUCUCCGCGGAGUACGGUCGCAAGACUGAAACUCACAGGAAUUGACGGGGACGCCCACAAGCGGUGGAGCAUGUGGUGUAUUUCUAAGCAACGCGGAGAAACAUACCAAAUCUUGACGUCGUCUGACCGCUCUCGAAAUAGAGUUUUCUUCUUCUCAGGACAAAUGACAAGUGGUGCGGGGUGUCGUCUUCUCCUGUCGUGAGAUGUUGGGUUAGUUCCGUCACCACCGCACCCUUGGACUUAUUGUCAUCAUUCCCUAGGAACGCGGAGUGUAUUGCCGGUGGCCGAGCCGAAGAAAGAAGGGAAGGAGGGCGGGCCUUAUUCCCCUCCCGAUUGGGUUUUAAA
Molecule: ribosomal RNA, 1050 nt
Filed under: Staphylococcus pseudintermedius
Lineage: Bacteria; Bacillati; Bacillota; Bacilli; Caryophanales; Staphylococcaceae
Description: bacterial SSU rRNA
Rfam family: Bacterial small subunit ribosomal RNA
Source: RNAcentral